Molecule: microRNA, 23 nt
Filed under: Homo sapiens (human)
Lineage: Eukaryota; Metazoa; Chordata; Mammalia; Primates; Hominidae
Description: hsa-miR-4686
Source: miRBase by way of RNAcentral
UAUCUGCUGGGCUUUCUGGUGUU